AACGAACGCUGGCGGCAUGCCUAACACAUGCAAGUCGAACGAGACCUUGGGGUCCUGUGGCGUAUGGGUGUGUAAGGGGAGGGAACAUGCCCAUAGGUUUGGAAUAACUCCCCGAAUGGGGUGCUAAUACCGGAUAAUGUCUUCGGACCAAAGAUUUAUCGACAUUGGAUGGGCCGGCGUUGGAUAAGGUUGUUGGUAGGGUAAAAGCCGACCAAGGCGACGAUCAAUAGCUGGUCUGAGAGGAUGAUCAGCCACACUGGGACUGAGACACGGCCCAGACUCCUACGGGAGGCAGCAGUGGGGAAUAUUGGACAGUGGGCGAAAGCCUGAUCCAGCAAUGCCGCGUGAGUGAUGAAGUCCUUAGGGUUGUAAAGCUCUUUUACCCGUGAUGAUAAUGACAGUACCGGGAGAAUAAGCUCCGGCUAACUCCGUG
RNAcentral lists this ribosomal RNA (433 nucleotides) under uncultured bacterium. RNAcentral describes it as "partial 16S ribosomal RNA". It matches the Rfam family "Bacterial small subunit ribosomal RNA", at positions 29 to 507 of the family's 1533-position model. The record is from RNAcentral.